UCUCUGCUUUUCAUUUAUGUAAUUUUAAUGUUCUGGCCCAAUUUUGUCCUUCUUCUAAGGAAAAUGGCUUGCAGGCAGAGCCCUUUGAUCCUCGGUUUCACCCUGCAAUCGGUACUGGCUGAGCUCUGGGAUCUAUUUGUGCUGGAAAUGCGACCGGCUCUUCGUAACACUGUGUUGCUACUUUCAUGAAUGAGUAAGGCAGCGUUGCCAAGUAGGCAUGCUUCGUUUUUGCCUUUACUUAUUUAUUUUUUUAAUGAAUAUGCCCGGAUUUCAUUAUUAAACCCUGUGGCAGCUGUGUGAAGACAUGUUUUCCAUGGGUGUACCCUGACAUAUCUCAGUAAAGCGUGAUUUCUGGAGAGGAUAAUGUGUGCUAGCACUGUGAUUCUAGCUGAACCACUUACCGGAUGAGUGGGAAGACCAAGCUAUUCUUACAGCAAGCUCCUGGGGCUGAGAGAAGCGUGUGCCAGCUGUAUUAUUAUGCCUCUAAUUAUUUAUUUUAGUUUGCAGAAUGUCACGUGCAAACUGCACCUGAAACGUUUUAUGGUAUAAAAGCUCAGCUUCGUGCAGACAUCCCAAUUCACAGCCCAGAGUUGCUGCCUGCUGGAGGAGCUCUGUGAUUCCUGGGAAAGCUUUUGGGGUCUGCGGGUUUGAAGGUCACUUGGCCAAGGGAACGGGGCACCCUGGCUCUGUCCCAUUGGAAGUAGUGAGGCAUCAAGGUUAGCCUUUAAAUCCGGUUGGAAAUUAAAGCAGCUGGCUUUAUGAGGAGGCGUAGCUGGCUGGGAGGGCAGAAGUGGCAGGGUGGGAGCAUGCUGCUCACCUGCAGGGUUUCUGGGUGGAGCACGAGUGAGGUGUUGGUCAUGGGCCAUAAAGCUGUUCCUUGAUUUAGUGCCUGAGAGGCUGCUGAGCGCUCUGCCCGGCUCUCCUGCAACCCAUACACAGGGUGCCUUGAAAGCAGCAGGUGUGAGCCUUCCAAGCCUCUUCUACAUCUCAGAGACUGAAGCAGCUUCACAGAAAGGACUUGGAGGCUUGAGGCAAGGGUCCAGGGGUGUAGGAUGUAAAUAUCUAGUUAAAGCAAUUCAGUAUUUAUUGGAAGGGGGGGGAAAUUUGCCAAGCUUAGAGUUUUGAUUCUGCUGAUGGUAUUACUGAGUGUUUUGCAAGUGAUAUAAGUAGGCUUAUGGUGAGGCUGAAUAUGCCUUAUCACAGAUAAGCACUGAGAUGGCAUUUUGCAGCUGGCUGGGAGGCCUGAAGUUUAGUGUCAGGGCAUCGGUGCUGGAAGGAAAGAGCACCUAGAACAGCUGCUGCCCCAUCCACUCCAGAGCCUGCGGACGGAGCCAGAGAGGCUCUUCGUGUUCAGGAAGCUGUGCCCUGGUGAAAACAACAACAGAACCCACCGCUGCCUGUCCUCGGGGAUUGCAAGCCACAGCAGUGUUGGAUAACCUUGAACUGCAAGCCGGAUCCCAUGGCCUGAUGUGAACUCUGUUUAUCCCUGCAUGUUGCUUUUGUUCUGCCGUUCACUUAGAGUUGUGAACAUCAGGUUUUUUGUCAAAUACAUCUGCUUCUGAGAUGCCUAAGGUACCCCCACUUCAAAGAAAGCUUUUGUAGGCAGA
Meleagris gallopavo (turkey) is the source of this 1607-nucleotide non-coding RNA. NCBI's taxonomy places the organism in Eukaryota, Metazoa, Chordata, Aves, Galliformes, Phasianidae. The record is from RefSeq and is a predicted model, not a curated record.